AAACCGUUCAGGGGUAAACCUAAGAAACCCAAAAGAUCGAACGGGGAGAUUCAUCGUCAGCGGCGCUGGCUUCGCGUCGGUCGGCGAUGCACCCGCGGUGCCGUUAAUCUCGGCUCUCGCGCGGGCACGCUGCCGCGCGCCGAUGUCCGGCGCUCGUCGUCGUGCACUUCUCCCCUAGUAGGACGUCGCGACCCGCUGGGUGUCGGUCUACGGCCCGGGUGCGGUGACUGUCGCGUCGCCGGUAAAACGGCACGCGGCAAACUCCCGGUCGCCCGGCCGGCUGCCCGGCGGUACACGCUACGGUAUCAGGCCGCGCUACGAGCGCGUCGAGCCCGUCGCAAGCGAGCGCCACGGUACUCGGAGGUACGGACCYAGCGCCGUCCCCGGUCCUGGCCCGCUGUUAGCUGUUACGGUGCAACCUUCGACGGGCCUUCUCCCGGGUGCGCGGCAACGCGCGCGCGGGAUACCGGUCGGCGACGCUACUGCUUUGGGUACUCUCAGGA
RNAcentral lists this ribosomal RNA (503 nucleotides) under Cerapachys cf. mayri SGB-2003. Its description in RNAcentral is "eukaryotic LSU rRNA". The record is from RNAcentral. Lineage: Eukaryota; Metazoa; Arthropoda; Insecta; Hymenoptera; Formicidae.